UAGAAUAUUUGGAGAUUUGGAAAAUUGAGGUCAGAUCAGAAGGACUUCUCGGAAAGCUGGACCUCAUGGCACUCACCGAUCAUUCUGAUAUCCAGAGAAGCCGAGCUUUCAUAGCACCUUCCAAUACUCGAGCUAUCUACCAGGGAGGACACUUCCAGGUCAGUGCCAACUGGAUUUCUUCAACUCCUGGACUGAAGUGUGUGGUGACUUCAGCAAUAGACUGUGAGAAGCAUUGAUUUAAGAGAUG
This 247-nucleotide long non-coding RNA is filed under the name Rattus norvegicus (Norway rat). RNAcentral describes it as "partial Pvt1". The record is from RNAcentral. Lineage: Eukaryota; Metazoa; Chordata; Mammalia; Rodentia; Muridae.